RNAcentral lists this ribosomal RNA (764 nucleotides) under Austrochloritis metuenda. RNAcentral's name for it is "partial large subunit ribosomal RNA". The record is from RNAcentral. Lineage: Eukaryota; Metazoa; Mollusca; Gastropoda; Stylommatophora; Camaenidae.
UUAAUUAAAUAUAUAAUCUAUUUUUUAACACGAAAUUGGAGGAGCUAAUUAUUAUAUAUUAUAGAUAGUAAGGUGUUGCAAAACUUGAGAAAUAAUAAUUAGGGGUGAUAGACUUAUCAAUUUCAAUGAUAGCUUGAUAAUCAAUAAAUGUAAAAAUACAGCGGCACUUCUAAAAUGAUAAGGUUUUAGAAGAUAGAUAAUAUACUUAAAUUUAACUAUGUUCUGUUUAAUCACUAAUAUAUUAAUAAUAUAUAAUAAAUUGAGUGCGUUUGUUUAAAGUAAUGAUUAAUAUAACUAAUAUAUACAUAUAUAAAUAAUGUUAAUAUUAGUAUACUAAAUAUAAAACAUGAACUCGGCAAUAAGCCCUUUAACUGUUUAUCAAAAACAUAGCUACAUGCAUUUACAUGUGGUAAUUUCUGCUCAAUGAAAUUUAAAUAGCCGCAGUACUUUGACUGUGCUAAGGUAGCGCAAUCAAUUGGCUUUUAAUUGGAGUCCUGUAUGAAAGAAAGUAUAAGGGGCUACUUUAUUUUUUGUAAUUAAAGAACUUACUUAAAAAGUGCAAAUUCUUUUAUAAAAAUAAUAGACGAGAAGACCCUAGAAAUUUUAUAGAGUAGGCUUUUUGUUGGGGCAACAAAGUAGCAAUAAUAAUCUACUUUAAAUACAUGAAAGACAUAUUUUGGAAGACUAAAUUACUCUAGGGAUAACAGCAUAAUUUAUAAAAGUUUGUGACCUCGAUGUUGGAUUAGGGUAUUACCAUUUAAAAG